Molecule: ribosomal RNA, 4935 nt
Filed under: Triticum aestivum (bread wheat)
Lineage: Eukaryota; Viridiplantae; Streptophyta; Magnoliopsida; Poales; Poaceae
Description: partial small subunit ribosomal RNA
Source: RNAcentral
AUGGCGGAGCUGGCGUCGGGCGCCGUGGGGACGCUGCUGGGCGUGAUCAGCCACGAGGCGCUGAGGCUUGGGCGCGUCCGGCACGAUGUGCAGUUCAUCCAGGAGGAGAUGGAGAGCAUGGGCAGCUUCCUGGCGAACCUUUCUGGGAACAGCCGCGAGCAUGACGAGCAGGUCCGCACCUGGAUGAACCAGGUCCGGAUCCUCGCCAACGACUGCAACAACUGCAUCGACCUCUACCUCUACCGCGGGGACCCAGCGCUCCACCUGCCCAAGGAAGGCCCUGGCCGCUACCUCCGGUGGGCUCCUUGGCUGGUGCGCAAGCUGCUCGCACAGCAUCGCGCUGCCGGCCAGCUGAGGGAGCUCAAGGACCGGGCACAGGGCAUCGGCAACCGCCGAAUGAGAUAUGGUGUUGAGGUCAAAACGGAGUCAUCAUCUUCCGGGGCUGGGCUCACGGAGCCGUUGUUGUUGCCGGCACCACAAGACCAUGAAGACGAAGCAGAUAUGGACAACGACCAAGAUGGGGUUGAUCCACUCAAGGUGGCCUUGUCCAUGACUAGCAUGAGGAUGGACAAGGAAGACUUCUUUCAAAGGAGGCUAGAUCAAUGGAUCGGAUUGGUGGUGCAAGUGAGGGCGGAGGCGGCGGAGAAACACAUAAAGUCGAAUGUGGCGGGAUCAAGGAAACUGGCAGCCGAAUCAAAACCAUUACUGCCUUCCAUCGCCUUUGUGGUAACGGAUUACGAGGAUGCCAACGCCAACGCUCACGCUCUUGGGAGUAAAGCCCUGGAGGUAGCAAGAGCCUAUUUUGAGAAGGCAGAGGACAUCCAAGAUAAGGUUGUCCCGCCGGAGAUGAAGCAUGCGGGUGCCCUUAGGCGUGAAGAUAAGGCGGUGCCACCCAAGAUUAAGGAUGUCGGCGCCCUUGCACAUGAAGAUAAGGGUGUGCCACCAGAGAUCAAGAAUGUCGGUGGCCUUGCGUGUGAAGAUAAGGCUAUGCCACCGGAGACCAAGGAUGCCGGUGCCCUUGCGUGUGAAGGUAAGGCUAUGCCACCGGAGAUCAAGGAUGCCAGCCCGGUUGUGCCACCGGAGAUCAAGGAUGCCAGCCCCGUUGUGCCACCGGAGACCAAGGACAACGGCGCCCUUGUGCAUGAAGAUAUGGUGGUGCCACCGGAGAUCAAGGAUGCCGACGCCCUUGUGCAUGAAGACAAGGCCGUGCCAUCGGAGACAAGGGAAGACGGUGCCCUUACGCAUAAAGACAAGGCCGUGCCACCAGAGAUCAAGGACGCCGAUGCUCUUGUGGAUGAAGAUAAGGGGGUUGUGCCACCGGAGACCAAGCACAUCGGCGCUAUUCGCACGAAGAUAAGGCGAAAGCCAAUGAGGCUCUUGUGCAUGAAGAUAAGGCGAUUGUGCCACCGGAGGCCAAGGACGCCGGUGGUGCUGCCGGAGACCAAGGAUGCCGGCGCCCUUGUGAAUGAGGAUAAGCCUGUGCCACAAGAGAACAGGGACGCCAGUGGUGCCCUUGUGCACGGAGAUACGGCAGUGCCGCCGGAGACAAAGGGCACUGGCGCUGUUGAACACAAAGAUAUGCCUGCUGUGCCACCGGAGACCAGUGACGCUAACAACGCUCUUAUGCACAAAGAUAAGGUAGCUGUACAGGACACUGGAUAUGUUGUCAUCUUGGUCGACGUCCCCGAGGUGCACUACGAUUUUAUAACACUACGACCCCACAAGAUUCUCUGCUACAUCAUGGCUGAGCUCAAGCGGCAGCAAGGCACAAAACAAGAUCCUCCUAAAACAAGAUGGGGCACUUACAAAUACACAAGGGACACAAUCCGUGAUAUCAAGCAACAGAUAGAUAAAAUGAAGGCCGACAGCAAGAUAAAUGACAUCAAAAUUUGCACUCUCAAGGAUGGUAUGAAGGAGCUGCCGGACCGGCAAAAAUUGCGCAAGGACGGAAUAGAUUUGGAAAAGGAAAUCUUGGGUAAAAACUUGGGCCAACUCCUCUGGUUGCUCAUCUACCAGUCAACUACUACUGCUGCUGCAUCAGAAUCAGAAAAGGAGAAAAAGAACAAAUCCAUGGUAGCAGAAUUGUAUGAUGCCAUCAUCAAGCAAACAGCCAAGAAGCUUAAAUCAAAAAUAGAAGGCGGCUCAAGCUCAGAGCAGCUGGAGGGGCCCGAAUAUGAAGACAUCCUGUCAACGGUGUCCCCAAGGUCGAUCAGUACCACCAUCACCGCUGGCAAUAGUCCUCUUGUUGGCACAUCGGUUGAUGAUGAAAUCAAAGAAAUGGUCAGAGGGGUUAAAGACAUGCUGCACGAGUUAUGGGAAUUAGAAAAAUCUGCCAAGAACCCAGGGGUGAUCCCGGAAGAUGAUUUUGAUGAAACCAGACAGCAGAAGAAGGACGAAAUCAUAACGGAGAUUAGGAACCGUCUCAAGAUCAAAAUGAUGGCGCAAAAGAUUAAAGAAUGUUUGAGAGGUGAUGAUCAAAGGAUCCUGGUCAUCCUAAAAGUUUAUGACAAGUAUAUACCCCAAUGGGAGGAGACCAGAAACACUUUGAGACCCCGAGGAUUGGGGUGGUGCCCUAUCGCUGGUGCUGUGAUCGUGGCGACAAAGACCACUCAACAGGACAUCAAGCAAUAUUGUGGCUGUCAAGAGCUGGAGCCUAUAGAAUAUUCUCUUGUUGGCCUCUACCUUGAUACUGUGCUCCAGAAUACAGGCCAGCAUAUGAAUGAUCAACCCAGCCGCCAGGUUCUACGCGACAUCUUGUGUAAGUGUGAGCCACAUGAAUUCUGCAUGAAGAUCUUUGCUCAUGCAUUGUACACCAAACCCAAGAGGAGCAGUGGAGAGCUGAGCAAGUUGAAUAGCACCUUGCCUGCCGGUGCCACACAAAAAUCAUUGCCCAGUAUGAUGUUCAAGUUCUCUUACAGGGAUCUGCCUAAAGAGUACAGGUCUUGUUUGUUGUACCUAGCUAUCUUCCCUGGAGGAAAAAUCAUCAGACGGUCAACCUUGGUAGGACGAUGGGUUGCAGAAGGGCUGAUAACCACCAAAGAUUGGCGCUGGUCCUCUUCAGUGGAUGAAGCCCAGAAAUGUUUUGAUACGCUCAUCGCCCGGUUCUUUGUUUGUCCUGCUGGCAUUGAUGCUACUGGAAAGGUCAAGAGCUGCACUGUGCAUAAGCUAGUUUAUGGAUUCAUCACCAAGAUCGCCAUGAAGCAGCGCAUUCUGGAGACAAGGCUGUCCCAUCACUUGGCUCGGCACUUCUCCAUUUUCAGUGAUGUCCGUCUCCGCAGCUCUGAAACAAUUGAGAAUUUCUUGAAAAAUUCAUCUCAGUUCUCCAAGCUCAAGGUGCUAGAUCUAGAAGGCUGUGAUUGCUUCCCGCAGAACCAGCACUACCUGAGUCACAUAUGCAGGAAUAUACUAAUGCUCAAGUAUCUCAGCCUAAGAGGAACAGGUGUUACCAGGCUGCCCAGUGCAAUCAACAAUCUACAUGAGCUGGAGGUAUUGGAUAUCCGGGACACCGAGAUUCAUUCGUCUGCAACAAGACAUGUCCUGCUUCAAAAGCUGAAACGUUUCUUGGCUGGUCAAAAGCUGAAGCGUGUCCUGGCUGGGCAUGUCGAUUCAAGUCAGAGCAAUCCUCGUGACUUCCCCAGUGUCCAGAUGCCUGAGAUCAACAAAAUGGAGUGUGUGGAGGUACCGUGCAAUGUCAAGCCGAAGAAUCGUUGGAACCGUCUAUUGGCUGGUCAUGUUGGUUCAAGUCCUGCUGACUUCUCCAGUGUGCAGAUCCCUGAGAAGAUCGAAAAAAUGGUGAGUGUGGAGGUAUUAUCCAACGUCAAGCCGAAGAAUGAACAAGAUUUGAAAGAUAUUGGAGGUCUGAAUGAGCUGAAGAAGCUCGGUGUGGCUAUCAACAAGGAGAGUGACCUCAAGUCAUUGCUUAAUGCAAUCAGUGACCUCCUAAACCAGUCCCUCCGUUAUCUGUCAAUUACUCUUGACAUAAAUAUAUACAAGGACCCUCCAUCAGAGCUGAGUCUGAAACAAAACUGCCCUGAUGUUCUUGAGAGACUAAGUAUAAAUGAAAGCACUAGCACACAAAAGGGGCAGCUUCUUAAGAUAUUGGUUGGAAAUGGGAAUCAACUUGCCAGGGUGACUCUGACUGGUACCUCCUUCAGCCAGGAAGAUCUGAAGAUCCUUGCCAAGCUUGAGAACUUACACUGUGUCAAGCUUCGACACAAUAAGUACGAUGAGAGCAAGCUCACUUUCAACAAGGGUGAAUUCAAAAAUCUCAACAAUUUUCUUGUUGAGGGAAACAACAUGUCUGAAAUCACAUUUGAUGAUGGAGCUGCUAGUAACCUUGAGAAGAUUGUUCUGUCCUCCACCAACAUAGUCUCUAUCAGUGGAGUCGGCUACCUUCAAAAAUUGGAGGAGCUCGAACUGAACAAUAUCAAGAAGAAGGGCAUAUUGCAUUCAUUACUUGUCAAUGCCAAACACAUAACCAGGGUGACUCUUCGUGAUACAUUGCUGGAACAAGGUGAUCUGGAAAUCCUCGCCCGUGAACGAAAGGUGCGCUACCUAGCGCUCUUCGGGAAGUUUUACAAUGGCAGUCAGCUUAUCUUCAACAAAGAUGAAUUCCAAAAGCUCAACCUUCUUAUGGUCAGCUCCUCUUACAUCACCGAGUUAAGCUUCACCGGCGGGUUUCCUAAUCUUGAGAAGAUCGUCUGGUCAUUCGAGAAUAUUGUUUCUCUGUCCGGGAUCGACAAACUUCCUGCACUAAAGGAGCUGGAGUUGAAUGGUGACAGUGUCCCUAAUGAUGUUGAGCAUGUCAUAAAAAAACUAAAGAAUAGGCUUGAGUACAAACACAAGGAUAAGCCAAAAAAACAAGAAGAAAAACAAGGUGGUCCUGCAAGAUGCCCAUCAUUGUGGAAGGCGAAGGAUUGGUGCUGGAGGAACUGA